Molecule: ribosomal RNA, 2643 nt
Filed under: Salmonella enterica subsp. enterica serovar Enteritidis
Lineage: Bacteria; Pseudomonadati; Pseudomonadota; Gammaproteobacteria; Enterobacterales; Enterobacteriaceae
Description: partial 23S ribosomal RNA
Rfam family: Bacterial large subunit ribosomal RNA
Source: RNAcentral
GUGAUUCGUCACACUAUCAUUAACUGAAUCCAUAGGUUAAUGAGGCGAACCGGGGGAACUGAAACAUCUAAGUACCCCGAGGAAAAGAAAUCAACCGAGAUUCCCCCAGUAGCGGCGAGCGAACGGGGAGGAGCCCAGAGCCUGAAUCAGCAUGUGUGUUAGUGGAAGCGUCUGGAAAGGCGCGCGAUACAGGGUGACAGCCCCGUACACAAAAGCGCAUGUGCUGUGAGCUCGAUGAGUAGGGCGGGACACGUGGUAUCCUGUCUGAAUAUGGGGGGACCAUCCUCCAAGGCUAAAUACUCCUGACUGACCGAUAGUGAACCAGUACCGUGAGGGAAAGGCGAAAAGAACCCCGGCGAGGGGAGUGAAAAAGAACCUGAAACCGUGUACGUACAAGCAGUGGGAGCACCCUUUGGGUGUGACUGCGUACCUUUUGUAUAAUGGGUCAGCGACUUAUAUUCUGUAGCAAGGUUAACCGAAUAGGGGAGCCGGAGGGAAACCGAGUCUUAACCGGGCGUUAAGUUGCAGGGUAUAGACCCGAAACCCGGUGAUCUAGCCAUGGGCAGGUUGAAGGUUGGGUAACACUAACUGGAGGACCGAACCGACUAAUGUUGAAAAAUUAGCGGAUGACCUGUGGCUGGGGGUGAAAGGCCAAUCAAACCGGGAGAUAGCUGGUUCUCCCCGAAAGCUAUUUAGGUAGCGCCUCGUGAAUUCAUCUCCGGGGGUAGAGCACUGUUUCGGCUAGGGGGCCAUCCCGGCUUACCAACCCGAUGCAAACUGCGAAUACCGGAGAAUGUUAUCACGGGAGACACACGGCGGGUGCUAACGUCCGUCGUGAAGAGGGAAACAACCCAGACCGCCAGCUAAGGUCCCAAAGUCAUGGUUAAGUGGGAAACGAUGUGGGAAGGCCCAGACAGCCAGGAUGUUGGCUUAGAAGCAGCCAUCAUUUAAAGAAAGCGUAAUAGCUCACUGGUCGAGUCGGCCUGCGCGGAAGAUGUAACGGGGCUAAACCAUGCACCGAAGCUGCGGCAGCGACACUGUGUGUUGUUGGGUAGGGGAGCGUUCUGUAAGCCUGUGAAGGUGUGUCGUGAGGCAUGCUGGAGGUAUCAGAAGUGCGAAUGCUGACAUAAGUAACGAUAAAGCGGGUGAAAAGCCCGCUCGCCGGAAGACCAAGGGUUCCUGUCCAACGUUAAUCGGGGCAGGGUGAGUCGACCCCUAAGGCGAGGCCGAAAGGCGUAGUCGAUGGGAAACGGGUUAAUAUUCCCGUACUUGGUGUUACUGCGAAGGGGGGACGGAGAAGGCUAUGUUGGCCGGGCGACGGUUGUCCCGGUUUAAGCGUGUAGGUGUGUGUUCCAGGUAAAUCCGGUUCACUUUAACACUGAGGCGUGACGACGAGGCACUACGGUGCUGAAGCAACAAAUGCCCUGCUUCCAGGAAAAGCCUCUAAGCAUCAGGUAACAUCAAAUCGUACCCCAAACCGACACAGGUGGUCAGGUAGAGAAUACCAAGGCGCUUGAGAGAACUCGGGUGAAGGAACUAGGCAAAAUGGUGCCGUAACUUCGGGAGAAGGCACGCUGACACGUAGGUGAAGUGAUUUACUCAUGGAGCUGAAGUCAGUCGAAGAUACCAGCUGGCUGCAACUGUUUAUUAAAAACACAGCACUGUGCAAACACGAAAGUGGACGUAUACGGUGUGACGCCUGCCCGGUGCCGGAAGGUUAAUUGAUGGGGUCAGCGCAAGCGAAGCUCCUGAUCGAAGCCCCGGUAAACGGCGGCCGUAACUAUAACGGUCCUAAGGUAGCGAAAUUCCUUGUCGGGUAAGUUCCGACCUGCACGAAUGGCGUAAUGAUGGCCAGGCUGUCUCCACCCGAGACUCAGUGAAAUUGAACUCGCUGUGAAGAUGCAGUGUACCCGCGGCAAGACGGAAAGACCCCGUGAACCUUUACUAUAGCUUGACACUGAACAUUGAGCCUUGAUGUGUAGGAUAGGUGGGAGGCUUUGAAGUGUGGACGCCAGUCUGCAUGGAGCCGACCUUGAAAUACCACCCUUUAAUGUUUGAUGUUCUAACGUGGACCCGUUACCCGGGUUGCGGACAGUGUCUGGUGGGUAGUUUGACUGGGGCGGUCUCCUCCUAAAGAGUAACGGAGGAGCACGAAGGUUGGCUAAUCCUGGUCGGACAUCAGGAGGUUAGUGCAAUGGCAUAAGCCAGCUUGACUGCGAGCGUGACGGCGCGAGCAGGUGCGAAAGCAGGUCAUAGUGAUCCGGUGGUUCUGAAUGGAAGGGCCAUCGCUCAACGGAUAAAAGGUACUCCGGGGAUAACAGGCUGAUACCGCCCAAGAGUUCAUAUCGACGGCGGUGUUUGGCACCUCGAUGUCGGCUCAUCACAUCCUGGGGCUGAAGUAGGUCCCAAGGGUAUGGCUGUUCGCCAUUUAAAGUGGUACGCGAGCUGGGUUUAGAACGUCGUGAGACAGUUCGGUCCCUAUCUGCCGUGGGCGCUGGAGAACUGAGGGGGGCUGCUCCUAGUACGAGAGGACCGGAGUGGACGCAUCACUGGUGUUCGGGUUGUCAUGCCAAUGGCACUGCCCGGUAGCUAAAUGCGGAAGAGAUAAGUGCUGAAAGCAUCUAAGCACGAAACUUGCCCCGA